RNAcentral lists this long non-coding RNA (253 nucleotides) under Zostera marina. RNAcentral's name for it is "long non-coding RNA (ZMAR_LNC004845)". Lineage: Eukaryota; Viridiplantae; Streptophyta; Magnoliopsida; Alismatales; Zosteraceae. The record is from RNAcentral.
CUUGGCAUUGUAAUAUUUUUCAAACCUCCUCUUGUACUUUUCUUCUUUGAUUCGAGCUUCCUCUCUAAUCUCCUCUAUAUUUUCUUGCUCUAUCAUUAUUGCUUCAUUUUCUUUAGUGUCAUAGUGCUUGAUUCUUGCUGAUGGCCAUAUUAGCUCAACUGGCGCGACUGCUUCGAGACCAAAAGCCAAAGUGUACGGGGUUUGUCCGGUGGCUGUCUUGUAUGUUGUUCUGUAUGCCCAUAGGACUUCUGGG